CCUACGGGGGGCAGCAGUGGGGAAUAUUGCACAAUGGGGGGAACCCUGAUGCAGCGACGCCGCGUGGGUGAAGGAGUACUUCGGUACGUAAAGCCCUAUCAGCAGGAAAGAAAAUGACGGUACCUGACUAAGAAGCCCCGGCUAACUACGUGCCAGCAGCCGCGGUAAUACGUAGGGGGCAAGCGUGAACCGGAUUUACUGGGUGGAAAGGGAGCGUAGACGGCAGUGCAAGUCCGGAGUGAAAGCCCGGGGCUCAACCCGGGGACGGCUCUGGAAACUGCAAGGCUGGAGUGCGGGAGGGGGAGGUGGAAUUCCAGGUGGAGCAGUGAAAUGCGUAGAUAUCAGGAAGAACACCGACGGCGAAGGCGGCCUGCUGGGACGUAACUGACGUUGAGACUCGAAAGCGUGGGGAGCAAACAGGAUUAGAUACCCGGGUAGUC
RNAcentral lists this ribosomal RNA (440 nucleotides) under uncultured bacterium. Its description in RNAcentral is "partial 16S ribosomal RNA". It matches the Rfam family "Bacterial small subunit ribosomal RNA", at positions 338 to 795 of the family's 1533-position model. The record is from RNAcentral.